GACGGAGGGUGCUAGCGUUGUUCGGAACCACUGGGCGUAAAGGGCGCGUAGGCGGCCUCAGGUGUCGGAUGUGAAAGCCCGGGGCUCAACCCCGGAGGUGCAUCCGAAACUCUGGGGCUGGAGGUCGGAAGAGGAGGGUGGAAUACCCAGUGUAGAGGUGAAAUUCGUAGAUAUUGGGUGGAACACCGGUGGCGAAAGCGGCUCUCUGGUCCGGACCUGACGCUGAGGCGCGAAAGCGUGGGGAGCAAACAGG
This 253-nucleotide ribosomal RNA is filed under the name uncultured bacterium. RNAcentral's name for it is "partial 16S ribosomal RNA". It matches the Rfam family "Bacterial small subunit ribosomal RNA", at positions 524 to 776 of the family's 1533-position model. The record is from RNAcentral.